Molecule: long non-coding RNA, 196 nt
Organism: Condylura cristata (star-nosed mole)
Lineage: Eukaryota; Metazoa; Chordata; Mammalia; Eulipotyphla; Talpidae
Exons: 3
Source: RefSeq, a predicted model, not a curated record
CUGACCCACCCGCUGCUCCCCUCAGCAGUGUAUUUCAGCUUGUUUCUUGCAUACAAGAGGAUGAUGGGAACAUGGCUGCUGGAACAUGAGAAGCUUCAGGAUUUUAUCAUCCAUCACAGUCUAGGAGCCGUAGGAGACAGAAACAUCUCAGUUUCUGUAUAUAAAAUCCAAGGCCUGCCCUGGUGGCGCAGCGGGU